AUUGAACGCUGGCGGCAGGCCUAACACAUGCAAGUCGAGCGGAUGAAGGGAGCUUGCUCCUGGAUUCAGCGGCGGACGGGUGAGUAAUGCCUAGGAAUCUGCCUGGUAGUGGGGGAUAACGUCCGGAAACGGGCGCUAAUACCGCAUACGUCCUGAGGGAGAAAGUGGGGGAUCUUCGGACCUCACGCUAUCAGAUGAGCCUAGGUCGGAUUAGCUAGUUGGUGGGGUAAAGGCCUACCAAGGCGACGAUCCGUAACUGGUCUGAGAGGAUGAUCAGUCACACUGUAACAGAGACACAGUCCAGACACCUACAGGAGGCAGCGGUGGGGAAUAUUGGGGAAUGGGCGAGAGCCUGAUCCACCGAUAUGGCGUGUGUGAAGAAGGUCUUCGGAUUGUAAAGCACUUUAAGUUGGGAGGAAGGGCAGUAAGUUAAUACCUUGCUGUUUUGACGUUACCAACAGAAUAAGCACCGGCUAACUUCGUG
This 484-nucleotide ribosomal RNA is filed under the name uncultured bacterium. Its description in RNAcentral is "partial 16S ribosomal RNA". It matches the Rfam family "Bacterial small subunit ribosomal RNA", at positions 30 to 507 of the family's 1533-position model. The record is from RNAcentral.